CUACGGGGUGCUGCAGUCGAGAAGCUUCCGCAAUGGGGGAAACCCUGACGGAGCGACGCCGCGUGAGCGAAGAAGGUCCUAUGGAUUGUAAAGCUCUGUCAGAUUGGGAAGAAAAGUCUACGGUUAAUACCCGUAGGCCUUGACGGUACCAUCAGAGGAAGCACCGGCUAACUCCGUGCCAGCAGCCGCGGUAAUACGGAGGGUGCAAGCGUUGUUCGGAUUCACUGGGUAUAAAGGGUGCGCAGGCGGCCUGAUAAGCCAGGGGUGAAAUAUGACGGCUCAACCGUCAAACUGCCCCUGAAACUGUCAGGCUUGAGUCCGGGAGAGGAAGGUGGAAUUCCUGGUGUAGCGGUGAAAUGCGUAAAUAUCAGGAGGAACACCGGUGGCGAAGGCGGCCUUCUGGCCCGGUACUGACGCUCAGGCACGAAAGCAUGGGGAGCGAACGGGAUUAGAUACCCCAGUAGUC
This 466-nucleotide ribosomal RNA is filed under the name uncultured bacterium. RNAcentral describes it as "partial 16S ribosomal RNA". It matches the Rfam family "Bacterial small subunit ribosomal RNA", at positions 339 to 795 of the family's 1533-position model. The record is from RNAcentral.